RNAcentral lists this ribosomal RNA (92 nucleotides) under Candidatus Auribacterota bacterium. RNAcentral describes it as "partial 23S ribosomal RNA". It matches the Rfam family "Bacterial large subunit ribosomal RNA", at positions 2834 to 2925 of the family's 2925-position model. The record is from RNAcentral. Lineage: Bacteria; Pseudomonadati; Candidatus Auribacterota.
CUCCUUGUAGACUACAAGGUUGAUAGGCCAGGUGUGUAAGUCCAGUAAUGGAUUUAGCUAACUGGUACUAAUAAGCUGAUCGGCUUGACCAU